This 395-nucleotide ribosomal RNA is filed under the name Allobates femoralis (brilliant-thighed poison frog). RNAcentral's name for it is "partial 12S ribosomal RNA". It matches the Rfam family "Bacterial large subunit ribosomal RNA", at positions 1834 to 2422 of the family's 2925-position model. The record is from RNAcentral. Lineage: Eukaryota; Metazoa; Chordata; Amphibia; Anura; Aromobatidae.
CUUGAUCAAUUAUAAGAGGUCAAGCCUGCCCAGUGACAUUGUUCAACGGCCGCGGUAUCCUAACCGUGCGAAGGUAGCGUAAUCACUUGUCCUUUAAAUAAGGACUAGUAUGAACGGCUUCACGAAGGCUAUACUGUCUCCUUAAUCUAAUCAAUUAAACUAAUCUCCCCGUGAAGAAGCGGGGAUUCGUCUAUAAGACGAGAAGACCCUAUGGAGCUUUAAACAUCUAAGACACUUGAUUAUAUCUACUAAACUUCAUGCAACCUAUCAUUUUGUUUUAAGUUUUAGGUUGGGGUGACCAUGGAGAAAAAUUAAACCUCCACGUAGAAAGAAAAUUCUUUUCUAAGCAAAAAGACACAUCUUAACGCAUCAAUAUAUUGACUUAAAUUGACCCA